Maniola jurtina (meadow brown) is the source of this 2277-nucleotide long non-coding RNA. RefSeq lists it as uncharacterized. Lineage: Eukaryota; Metazoa; Arthropoda; Insecta; Lepidoptera; Nymphalidae. The transcript has 3 exons. The record is from RefSeq and is a predicted model, not a curated record.
UAUACAUGUAUUUUAAUGUACCAUUAUGAAUGCGUAUAAAUAUUUAAAAAUGUAAAACAGUGAUAAAAUUCACAGUAACCAAUACACAACUGUAAUCAACACAACUAAUUAUACCAAAUUAUAUAUUCAAAAGUCAUAUAGUUUUAGUGGAAUAUAGAAAAAUUACACUUUUAAAAUUGUCUAAGAAUUAUUCUGUUAUAAAUUUGCAAAAAAUGCAAGAUUAAAAAUAGGUAUUCACAGUUUUCAGAUAGGUCCUAAUAAUUUUAAUUAGCAUGCAGGUACUAUUUACUUUUUAUGAUCUAUCAUUGGUUAGAAACUGUGGGUUUUCGCGGAAUUAAGGUAGGGUUCUAUUAUAUAAAAACUUGGCCCCGGUGUUUUCAAAAGGGAUCCACAAAAUCUGGAAUAUUUAAAAUUUGUAAAUAUGCGCUUUGCAUAGAGUAAAAAUUAUCGCAAAUAUUUCAACAACAAACUACUUACAAUUACAGUCUUCGGAUUUUGUAAUAUUUUCGUAAAAAAACGAUACGAUUAAAAGCUUUAAACUUCGCGUUGGAAUGUAUUUUUUUUUUACAAAAAGGGAAUAUAAUUAACUUUACCUAAUUAAUAGAAACCUUACUCAAUUUCUACAUAAAGAAAUAAUAUGAAGGUACACCUCGUAUAAACACAUUGAGCGUUAUCCUACAUAAUUACUGAUAAACAUGCUACACGUAUGUAUUACGCAGUAAAUUGAUUAAACUUGUAACAAGUAUUACCACAAGACGUUACAUCGAAUUUGGCAACUUGAAUGAACACUUCGCUUAUACAAUAGAUGUAUAACACCGAUCUCUAAAUAUAUGAUAUUAUUAUAUUAGCAAAUUAUUUCGUUUCUCAGUUGGAGUUCAUAUCCACCAUCUUAUUACUCCUUUAAAAAGUAAAUAUUAAUCUCUUAUCGAUAUCUAUAAAAACUGUUUUUUAGGAUUAAAACACUUUGCUACUACUGGAUGUUUUAUAUUAGCGACAUCAGGACAAAAGUGACCUAACCCAUAAUUACACAAUUUAUUUCAAUAAUAAUUAGUAAUUUUGCAAUAGUCCAGUUUAUUUAAUGAAAUCCAUGUUAUGUAUAGAUGGGUAAAUGAUGAAGAUAAUAAGUAUGAAAUAGGAAAGUUGAAGCUAAUGAUGCUAAUCAAGUGUUGAGGCUACUUUUGUUCUGAUGUUCUCAUGUGUCACUAUGUAAUAAUAAUUAAUAAUAAAUAUUUUUAAGGAUAGACAAUCACUACAAAUCAAUCACAUUCUACAACUAUCUAUCGAACACUCGCACAUUACAUUAAUUACAUUAAAAUUUAUAUACAGAUUACAUCUAAAAUAUUACCUUAACUGCCUUAUAGCCUACUAAAAUGUUAAUAACACUGCACCUAACAUUAGGUAUAUGGCCACUGAUUUGCUUUAUUGUAGCUGAUAAAUAGAAGAUAUAAACAAUCAAACUUUCCGAUAAAUGGUAUUACAAUAAGAAAUAAUUCCAAACUUCUCUACUCGAAUAUAAACGCCACUAUAUACGUCUAACCGUCUUGUUACCACAGUUGAGCGAGUACAGUAAUGUUCUAUGUCUUUAUGGUCAAAAAAAAAUUACAUUUCCCUAUCACUAAUCCAUACUAAUCACCUACGACUAAAUUACUACAUUAGCUGUUUAUAUUUCACUGGAAUAAAAUAAUGCCCAAAAAUUUGCCCAAUCUCAGUCGUCGUAAUUUUAAAGACGGAAUAAACUUGCAUUUUAUAAAAAUUUCAAAUUUUAAAAUAGAACAACGCACAACCGCAUGUACUCGUACAAUCAUAACAUCACUGAGUCGAAGUCUGUAUCCCGAAUGUAGAUUUUUUGGGUAAACGUUUAGUUAUUCGUAUGAAAUAGUUUACAUUGUAUUUCUAUGAAAAUCUUAUCAACGCCUCUAGCCCCAAUUACAAUAUUGGAGUGUAUGGAUAAAACGGGGUUUGUUUACGUGUUCUAAAUCUGACACUCAGGAUACUUUUCAACCUAAAUUUAACAAAUUGAGCUAAUAGUCAUUAAUAAAUUUUUUGAUUAAUAUAGCAAACCCUAAAUAAAAACUUCUAUGAGAAGUAUGCCGGUUUUUAUUAAACUAUUGUUUAAAAUAAUUAUCCUUCAACUUUAUGCUUAGGCAGAGUUUAGUUUAAAUUAUAAAAUUGAAGAGGUUUUAGCAUAAAGAAGAAUUUACAAUAAUUUGGUGUUGUACAUUCGAACUGAAAGCGUAGUCUUAGUGUUCAGUAUUAAGUUUUUACAGUAUUACGUAC